This 253-nucleotide ribosomal RNA is filed under the name uncultured bacterium. RNAcentral describes it as "partial 16S ribosomal RNA". It matches the Rfam family "Bacterial small subunit ribosomal RNA", at positions 524 to 776 of the family's 1533-position model. The record is from RNAcentral.
UACGGGGGGGGCAAGCGUUGUUCGGAAUUACUGGGCGUAAAGGGCUCGUGGGCGGCCAACUAAGUCAUACGUGAAAUCCCUCGGCUUAACCGGGGAACUGCGUCUGAUACUGGAUGGCUUGAGUUCGGGAGAGGAAUGCGGAAUUCCAGGUGUAGCGGUGAAAUGCGUAGAUAUCUGGAGGAACACCGGUGGCGAAGGCAGCCCCCUGGGUCAAGAUUGACGCUCAUGCACGAAAGCGUGGGGAGCAAACAGG